GACAGCCAGAGUGUUAUGAACUAAAUAACUCAGGCGCCAUCCCUGUGAUCAGAGGUCAGGUUCAGUCUGAGCUUUCAUGGUGAUCCUCAGACCCAUCUACCAUCACUCAACCUAACCAGCCUGUGGAGUUCAUCCCACCUCUCACCCUAUACUUGGGUGAACCUAAAUUAGCUCCAAAUCUCAUCCAUCUUCCUGGAGAAGGAAGCUCUACACCUUGUCUCUGACUUGGAAACUUUGGUCUGUCACCUACUUUGUUGACCAGAAGGUCCUGUAAGCAUAGUGAAGCUUCCAGGACUCAUCCCACCCAAUAUGGACCAGGACUCAGCUCCUGCAUAGGGUCUGAUCAAGGGACACAAUUUUGAGUCUAGAGGCCGGCUAUCCACAGACAGAGAUGAUCCUGUGCUGUCUCCAGAAAACAGAACCCAUAUGGUGUCUGCUGGAAGGUGAGAACCACUGGGAGCUAUUGGGGAAGGUUCAACUCUGUUCUGGAGAGGUCUAUGGACAUCUGUGUGUAGACAGAAGUGAUGAAGUGACUGCCUAUAUGUAAAUAAUAAACCCAUGGGGCAUUUCUUUGUCAAGCUGGCCGACCACAAAGAAUAUUCUAGAUCCAGUGAGAACUGUUUGCAAGUGACUAGGCCAGCACGUGAGGCAACUUGCCUGGCCCCCAGAUGUCCUCAGACUGACUUGGCCCAGCACUGUCCCCACAGUCUAGUUCAGUCUAACCGUAAUGCAUUUUCACAAUGGCUCCUCCUCACCUGAAAUUCCACCUUAUUAGGGUCACUCCUCCCUCUGAGGUCCUGGACUGUGAUCUCCCUCUGGGGCAGGAAAGUUGGUUUUCAUACUAAGAGAGAAUCGAGGAAAGAGAAGCCAGCUCCCCACAGAGACUUGCCACGCUGUCUCUUCCUGUUAAAGUCACCUGCCCAGGUAGGUGCCUCCAAAGAGGACUGUGUUCAGUGUCUCUGAAGGACCUCUCUGGCUUGGACUGGGGCCCUUUCCUAUCAGCAGGGCUGAGGGAGCUCCACGGGCCCCGGCCAGGAUGGAUGAGGAUGAUGGAGUCUGGAUAAGGUGAUGUUCAUAUAAUGUGUUCAUUAUUUGUUUACUAAUGAACUAGGACUUGUAGGUUGAUACGUUUGUAUAAGACAGCAAUAGGGAUUCACAAAACAUGUUUGUUUGUAAUUAUUUAUAUGUGUAUUCGCAUAAGACUGUGUGGAGGCUUUUCCUUUCAGUUGCUCUGAUGAAGCCCCCCAGAGAGACGGAUGGAGAUUCUCAGGGACAGAGUUAAUGCCAAAGUUUUGUGUAUGUGUAUACGAAGGGGUGAGCCCCUAGUUAAUUAUUUUUCACCAACAAAAAUACUGACAUCUCUGUUUGACAUCUGUGAGGAUCAAAGAUGGAUGAGUUUGCCCAGUUGGCCCAAAGUGUCAGCACAGCGCAGGGGACCUAAGAGAAAUUGGGAUUCUCCAUUGACAAGCAGGUGAGGCCCUGGAGCUCCCUGAGGCUUUCUGCACUGCAAAGGCACAGGUCAUCACUGGCUGAAUGUGCCCCACACCUGAUCCGUCUCCACAUCCAACACGCAGGCACCUCAGUCUGUGACACUCAUUGCCCUACCCCAGUGGGAAAGGUCCAGCUGCCUCCUUUGACUGGCAAUGUUCAUCUGUCACUCACUUGUGCUCAUCUGUGACUGUCUUGCUGGCCCUGAGGUCUUGUGAGCAGACUAAGUGGUUCCAGAAGUGUCUCAGGUCUCAGACACGAGCUCCCCAGCUGUGUCCCACCAAGGUGACAGGGUAGCCAGGCCUGAAGGGUCUUCCAGAUCCAGCUAGGGAUGCUGGGAGCUUGGCAGACCAGGAAGGUGUGAGUGGAGCAUGUUGGUGACAUAACUAUCCUCAGACACCCACCUUCAGGCAUAUACAGUGUAACUGUGUGUCCCUGCAGGACCCAUCUGGUGUCACUUGUGGUCACAAUGCCUACCAGGAAACCUGAGGUCCCCAUCACCUGCAUUCCAGUGGAGUCAGCCCCACCCCACAGGUAUCCCCUUUAGCAUGAGAGGCCAGAACCCAGAGCAUGAUGUUGCCCUGGCUGUGCUCAGGUAGAGGGCUCUGGAUUCGGGCUCUUUGGGUCAGUGGAGGAAGAGGGCUCCUUGGGCAGUGACAAGGGUCCCAGACAAGGUGCAUGUGUCAGGAAACAGGGCUUUCUUUUCAUAGGAAGAUAUUCAUGGUCUGUAUCUUCCCAUUUUUUUUACUGAGUUUGUUUCAUGAUAUUUAGUAAUAUGUGUAAUGUGAUAGAUACAUAUGUAGAUUUAGUAAAAUACAUAUAUUUGUAGGUAUUGAUUCAUGUCUUAAAUUGACUUAAGGACCUUUCUUUUUGUUUAUAUGGUGAAUCACUCAGACUUCAGUUAGAAAGAGGUACAAGUAUAAUGGAGUAAGUUCCAGGAUUGUGUGUACAUGUAUACAUUAGGGGCCAGUGUAUGUCUGUGUUCCACUACCUGUGUGUUGUCACCUGUGUGUAGAUGUUACUAAGCAUCAGACAAGGUUACAAGGUGUGAUGAAAACACAUGGUGAGUGUUUACAUUCAAAACAUUUCUUACAGUAAAGACACAUGGCCACUAAUUCAACUCAGAAUCUCCCCCACUGCUUAGCACACCUGGAAGUGAGCAUAAGCUGCACACUGCUCUUGCCACUUUCUGAAGCAGUGCUGAAGUCACUGCAAGAAAACAGGCAAAAAUGGAGAUCAUCGUGUUGAGUGGAGUAAGCCAGACUUGGAAGAACUAUCAAGGUGCUCCCUAAUUGGGAUCUCAAUGAUGACAGGAGAGUAGAAGGGAGA
Fukomys damarensis (Damara mole-rat) is the source of this 2817-nucleotide long non-coding RNA. RefSeq lists it as uncharacterized. Lineage: Eukaryota; Metazoa; Chordata; Mammalia; Rodentia; Bathyergidae. The transcript has 3 exons. The record is from RefSeq and is a predicted model, not a curated record.